This is a small nucleolar RNA of Gastrolobium bilobum, 83 nucleotides long. RefSeq annotates it as small nucleolar RNA R16. Lineage: Eukaryota; Viridiplantae; Streptophyta; Magnoliopsida; Fabales; Fabaceae. The transcript has a single exon. The record is from RefSeq and is a predicted model, not a curated record.
GUUGGCAUAUGAUGUUAAAAAUUCUUAUCCUACAGACUGAAUUCUGUGAAGAUCAAAAACUCCGCUUAUUAUCUGAUGCCUUC